AGUGAACGCUGGCGGUAGGCCUAACACAUGCAAGUCGAACGGCAGCACAGUAAGAGCUUGCUCUUACGGGUGGCGAGUGGCGGACGGGUGAGGAAUACAUCGGAAUCUACUUUUUCGUGGGGGAUAACGUAGGGAAACUUACGCUAAUACCGCAUACGACCUACGGGUGAAAGCAGGGGAUCUUCGGACCUUGCGCGAUUGAAUGAGCCGAUGUCGGAUUAGCUAGUUGGCGGGGUAAAGGCCCACCAAGGCGACGAUCCGCAGCUGGUCUGAGAGGAUGAUCCGCCACACUGGAAGUGAGACACGGUCCAGACUCCUACGGGGGGCCGCAGUGGGGAAUAUUGGACAAUGGGCGAAAGCCUGAUCCAGCCAUACCGCGUGAGUGAAGAAGGCGUUCGGGUUGUAAAGUCCUUUUGUUGGGAAAGAAAAGCAGCAGGUUAAGACCCCGCUGUUCUGACGGUACCCAAAGAAUAAGCACCGGCUAACUUCGUG
This 492-nucleotide ribosomal RNA is filed under the name uncultured bacterium. RNAcentral's name for it is "partial 16S ribosomal RNA". It matches the Rfam family "Bacterial small subunit ribosomal RNA", at positions 29 to 507 of the family's 1533-position model. The record is from RNAcentral.